RNAcentral lists this long non-coding RNA (735 nucleotides) under Ricinus communis (castor bean). Its description in RNAcentral is "long non-coding RNA (RCOM_LNC000015)". Lineage: Eukaryota; Viridiplantae; Streptophyta; Magnoliopsida; Malpighiales; Euphorbiaceae. The record is from RNAcentral.
AUUUUCGUACAUAUGGGAGGAAACUUCAAUGGAAAAGAAGCUCCAUAGCCGAGCACGGGAUUUUUCUCUGGCCUUUUGGCCGGAAAAUAACCCUUUCCCUUUAAUACUUUUUAUGUUUCUAUGAGCUUUCUCUAAUAAAUUUUAAAUGUUACUUUUACUUAGUGUUAGUUGAAGGACUACAUAUCCUCUCUUUUGCCGCGUAUUAGUUGGGAGACUCUAUUCUCUCUCUUUUCUGCAUUGUAAAUCUACAGAUUUAUUAUGUCUUUUGGUCAUUCCUUUGAUGGAUAUGGUUUCUUCUUUCUCAAGAGAUCCUUGCCUUGAUAGUCCUCAGUAUGGAUCUGGGAUCUGGUUUUAAGGUUUUGGAUGGAGCCUCCCUUAGAUGCUUGGUACAUUUAUUUGUUGGAAGAAUCCAUUUAGCAUCGACAUUGAGUCAAUCAUUGGUGGUGACGCCUGAAGCAGAGAGUGGUGGUGCAUUAUGGCACCGGUAUCGAACGGCGCUGGAGCUCUAGCUACCAAGAAUGCAGCCACAAGUGUAGAUCUUGUUCCAUUUUCUGUUAGAUUUGUACAGUGUUAGGGUUAGCCACUGGGUUUGUUAUUGGACCUAAUUUUAUAUCUUGCCUUUUCAGGCUUUCCCAUUAUUUAAGCUUGUAUUAAGCUCUCCCCAUAUUGGACUCUUGAUUUGAAAUGAAUUAUCAUUUCUAUUGGUAGAAAAAAAUAAAGGAAAUUAGACCGUAC